CUGGCAUCGGUGCUGGGGAGCGGCCCACGGGGUGGGCCACCACUCUGGCCUCUCUUGGGUCCCGCACUCUCGCUCCGGGCCCG
This 83-nucleotide microRNA precursor is filed under the name Camelus bactrianus (Bactrian camel). RNAcentral describes it as "mir-1343 microRNA precursor family". It matches the Rfam family "mir-1343 microRNA precursor family". Lineage: Eukaryota; Metazoa; Chordata; Mammalia; Artiodactyla; Camelidae. The record is from Rfam by way of RNAcentral. RNAcentral also lists the same sequence under 2 other names.